This 1453-nucleotide long non-coding RNA is filed under the name Olea europaea subsp. europaea. The record is from RNAcentral. Lineage: Eukaryota; Viridiplantae; Streptophyta; Magnoliopsida; Lamiales; Oleaceae.
CAAAAUCCCAACCCACUCCUCUACUGACACUAAUCGUACGCCACCUCUGCACCACAGCCCCUCGCCUCCAUUGUUAACACCACCACUGCCUUACCAUCACCACCGCCACUUCACCAUGAAAAACACCAAUAACCAUCCCAAAACUCUGACUAAGCAAUAAAUUGGAUCAGAAACCACUCACAAUAGAUUGGAUCGAAAAUCACCAACAACCAUCUAUAAACCAUUGCCAAAUAGUGAGAACUCCUCAUUGUUGCUACAACGAAGGCCACUCCUACUUUCACAAUUACAUGACGCUGGUGUUGGCACAGCCUUCGGCGCUAGCACCAAGUGGGUUUGUCACCACCUGGUGGUUGGCGAAUCUAGGUACUUGAAAUGUUCAUUAUUGCAGUCAUUAGCAAGCUUGUUCGUCGGUCCGUUGGGAAGAAACUCAGAAAGCAGAGCUGCAGCACGAAGAUGAAGAAGAUGCUGGGAAAUUGGGCCUACUUUCUCCCCAUUUUGGGCCUUUUUUAAAAAAAAAUAAGGCCCCAUACCUUGAAAUUAAUGGAUGGCUGGAGUGGAUAUAUUUUCAUUGCAUUCACCAAUUUGAAGAGUCCAAACUCCAAAAUUGAAACCAAUUAACCAAGGCUGAAUGGAACUGCUGAAGGCGAAGGGCUAUUACGAAGAGCCGAAGACAGUAGAUUGGUGCCUGGCAAAGUGGUGUGAGUUGACUGGAUGGUGAGAUGGCGUCGAUGUCGGUGUCGGUGUUAGUGACCGGUGAGCCAUGAGCGACAAGGAGGUGGACGAUGGAGUGGUACGAUCGUGCGAGUUGAGUGGACGCCGAUGGCUGCAAGUGCGACUUCUUGCCUUGGUAAGCUAUUCUGGCUUUUAUUUUAUUUUUUUCUUUUUGAUUUUAAUGAUUUAAUUUGAUUGUUAUGUUAAACGUGAUGAUUAUGAUUUAUGAAAAUUGGGAAAUUUGUAAAUUUUGUAAAUAUGUGAAUUGGGAAUUUUAUGAUUUGUGAGAAAUGUUCAAUUUGUGUUGGAAAUUAGAAAUUGGAAAUUGGUGAUAGUUUAAGUCUUUAAGACUAAGUUUAAUUUAUGUUUAAUUUUCAUACAAAUUAUGUUAACUAGGAAAAUUACCGCCGAUCUUGAUUCUUGAGGUUAAUCGACACUUUUGUCUUCAUUUUAAUUUUUUUUGGCAUUGAGGUGAGGUCCCUAUAUGAUGAAUAAAUGAGAAUUGUGAUUUAUGAUUUAUGAUAAAUAAUUUAUGCUGUAUGAGUCAUGAGUUAUAAUUUAUCAUUCAUGAUAUUUGAUUUGUGAUUUGGGAAUUUAGGUUUGGGAAAUUAUGAGAUCCCGUAGAAUGCUGUUGUCUAAGUUUAUAGUAUCGUACAUUUUUUUUAGUAUUUUGGAUUGUAUUGGAAUAUAUUUUCAUAUGUAUAUACUUUUUAUGUUUUAGUGCAUUUAAAUAUAUAUUGAA